RNAcentral lists this long non-coding RNA (470 nucleotides) under Marmota monax (woodchuck). Lineage: Eukaryota; Metazoa; Chordata; Mammalia; Rodentia; Sciuridae. The record is from RNAcentral.
GUAUCAUUCCUUUAUAUCUUCUUGGGGUUUAAAAGAUUCUUCUCUCCUCUCCCCAAUUUUUUUCUUUUUUCUCUUCUUUCUUUCUUUCUUUUUAACCCUUAGGACUCUUACUUUUUAAUUGAAUGCUAGAAAUCUUUCAGGAUGGAAUUGAUGAGGCUCAGGACAUGCUAUCCCCUGAAUGGUACCUUGACAUUUUGGAUAUUUUAAGCUGAAAAAAAAUCUAAAGAAAAGCCAGAAGAAGAAGAUCAUGCUGACCUUCUCCCUGCCUCUUCCCCCCUGAAGUUGGUUAUAAACUCUAUGAAGGAUUUUCUGACCCCUGAAGCAAAUCAUAAGACCCUCAUGUGAAAUGUGCUCUCCCUAUACCUGAAGGAAAGAAAUACCCUUAUCCCCUGUGUUAGUCAGCUUUGCAUUACCGUAACAAAAUACCUGAGAAAAUCAACCUAAAGAGAGGAAAAGUUUAUUUAUUUCAG